GGAAAACUAUGGAAUCAUUAUUCAUUCAAAAAUCUGAGUCACUAGCAUAAAAUGUGUAAUGGCUGAUUAAGCUGGUAACUAAAAACAUUUUAUCAUUCAUUUACAAUGCUUCUUUUUGUGCAACUAGUUUCUAUUAUAUGAAUAUCAUUCAUCUACACUGACCAAGAGUAUACAUAAACAGGUAUGAGGUGAGAUUAUUGUGAAGCUCUGCGUUGAAAAGCCUCAAAUGAACCAAGUGAAGUUGCUUUUCUAUGAAACUUUCCUGUUCUAGAGUCCUUAAGAACUUCGGCCAUCUUCAACAAUUCAGAUUUCUCAGUGUAAUAUGGGUCUUGUUCUAGUUGAUUUUCAGUUGAAAAAUCAGUAGCAGAUAUCCUACCUGACGAAAAUCUCCUAUGCCCAUAAAAGAAUCCAGAGUGACUAUUUCUCCGACGAAUUUCAAUAUUCUUUGUGUCUUCCAUCUUUGCACUCUUCAUUCUUUGGAUAUCUGCAGAAUGUCUAGAUGAGUGCCUAGAUAAAUCUGGAGACAGACUUCGUAAUCUAUUAGAUUGUUGAUCACCUGCAGCAUCAGUUGCUGUUGAAAUACUUGA
This 587-nucleotide unclassified non-coding RNA is filed under the name Hevea brasiliensis (rubber tree). The record is from RNAcentral. Lineage: Eukaryota; Viridiplantae; Streptophyta; Magnoliopsida; Malpighiales; Euphorbiaceae.